CCUCUUAUAUGUGGAAGGAGACUAUGUUACAUACCUGAAGUAUUACUCUUUUACAAAGAUACCAUUAGAAUUUUCUCACUGUCUUGGUAAAAAUUCCUAGAUUCUACUUUUUAUUGCAAGUGUUAGCAAUAUGAUCUUGUAACGCCAUGAAAAGCAUUAAGUAGAAGCCAACAUUAACCUAGAUUUUACAACUGAGCAAUCUGUUCCCCACCAGAUUUCCUUUAGAAUUUAUUACCAAAGGAUCUUAUUUUGUUACAGAACACAGGAAAUUGUUAAACCUUAUAAUGUUGCAAACCAUGCAUUUUCCUUUUCUCUUUUCCAUAAGAUUUUUUUAUUGUAGUAGUGCCCUGGCUUGUAAACAGUGGACAUCACUGAAAGGAUGAAAUCAAGUAGGCUUGUUUCAAAGAGACUCCUGUGAAUCAACUAUGAAUAUGAAGUAUCUCCCAGAACAAUGUUGAGUGUUUCAGGAGACUCUGAAACAGGGCACCCAUUUUUUUUUUCCUUCCUCAAAAUAGUCUCCUUGAAAUGUGAGCAAAGAACUAUGAUGAUGCAGUCCAGGUAUCUAAUAGCUCAAUCACCAACACCGCUGAGAAUUGUUCUUAUACCAGCAAAAAGUUCAAAUACAAUAACCUGGGCAAUGCCAACAGAAGACACUUUUAAUCAUUUGCAGACCUUUCUUGUUGCAGGAAAGUGAGGGCAAAAACAAACUGGUGAAAAAUGUUCAAAAAUAGAUCUUUUUGAUGUUCAUAGCCAGUAUUCAGUAUUUCUGUAUUGUUUACAAUUGGGGGAAAAUGUCUGUUAAGGCUAAUCAUCUGAGUGAUUUGAGUAGCAAUUAAACCAAAGGGAAACUUUUAAUAAGUUAUUUUAAGCCCUGGUUUAUGGCUAGUUCCCUUUUGCUCAGGAAAAAUAGUACUACUUUAUGGUUUAUGAAAACCUAUGAUUUAUGUUGCAUCUUCCGGGGAAGGUUUAACAGUACAAGGAGCUGAAUCCUACCUGAAAUUAUUAAUGCUUAAUAUAUUGCUUCUGUUUGAUUGAUAAAGGUGCUUAAUCAAUUGAAAAAAAAACGCAUAAUGCUUCAAGGUAAAAUUCCGUUGAUUCUGAAUUUAAAAAGAUACUACAGAAUGCGUCAGUUCUCCUGUUGUAUUUUUCUCAGUUAUGAGAGCAAGGCUAUUUUGUCAGUUUAGAUUUUGUGUCUUUUUCUGUCAGUAUGUAUGGCUCCCUAAUUGAAAACAUCUUAAAUGAACUAAUCAAACACUUAUUGUGUGAAAGCUGAAUACUUUAAAAAGCAACCUUAAUUAUAAACUCAUCUUGGAGUAGCAUGCAAAUGUGCUAAAGUUAUUUAAAAAACAUAUACUUAGGCAAGAAGUAGAGGACAGCCCCAGAAUGGCUACAAUGAAUGGAAGGAAAGUCUGUAUACACACAUAUAGCUCAAGAACAAGUUUUUAUUAUGCAUGGGUUUCGCAGUGAUACAAGACACCUGCUCACAACUUACAGUAUUAAUUUUUUAGAAAAACAAAACAGGUAUAUGGCAUGAGUGAAACAGUUCCCCAUUAAAAGCACUUAAAACCUAUGACAUGGCUAGUAAGAUGUAAAAUAUUAAGUCCCCUUGGGGUCUUGCAAACUUGUAUUUCCUAACAAUUUGGAAGCCAUGAUGAUAGUCUGAAGCUAAAGGAACUCCAAUUUCUUGGUAUGAUACUAAAUAAAGAUUCUUAUCUUUUGGGAGAAAGAGCCAAAACAGAAGGGUGUGAAAGCAGUGAAUUUCCCCUCCUAUGACAAUAAAGCAAGAGGGCAGAUUAUAUUCAUGAAUGCUUCUCAUAUACAAAAAAUUCCUCCAUACCAGGAAGGAGAGUAUUGACCAGUUUAUCUUUAAAAAGAAAAUGAGUAAUUCUGGAGAAAUGUAGCUUGUUCAUUCACCUACAGACUAUGGCUACAAAGCAAUGAAAUGGACUUCUAAAGAGAAAUUGCUCAAUUGCUUUUAUACUAAACGUUAAAUGUAACUAAUGCUGUAGAAAACUGUUUAAAACAAAUGGAAAUUGUCUAGUGAUAAUGUACAUGAAUCUUGUUUUCUUGGAAUUUUCAUUCUAUGGUGACAUUUUUUUAACUUUCAAAACCUGAAAUGAAAAUUCUGCAGGAUUUGGAUGUGUACAGUCCUACGUUUCUAUAAUGUCUUAAUAGAAAAAUAAAUGACAGGUAACGUUGUUAUAAAAGAAACUCUCAUAUAAAUUACACCAACAUAGC
RNAcentral lists this long non-coding RNA (2238 nucleotides) under Homo sapiens (human). RNAcentral's name for it is "non-protein coding lnc-ZDHHC2-2:1". Lineage: Eukaryota; Metazoa; Chordata; Mammalia; Primates; Hominidae. The record is from RNAcentral.